UGGUAGUCCAAAUUUUUUUGCUAUGAGGUUGUCAAUCACAGCUGGCCUCGUACAUUGUUUGCUGUCUCCACUCAUUCGGGAUGCACUGUUUCAGUUUCGAUGACUCAAUAUUUUGGACAAAAACGGACGAAGGCUGCGAAUGUCAAUACAAUCAAACUAGCAAGGGCAAUGAUCAAAAGUCAGUCAUAACGUGGCUAAUAGGCUAGCGCAUCUUUUUAUGUAGCUCUUUAUUUAGCAACCUAAAAACCUGGAGCCUAAUGUUAGCUAGCUAGCUGCUGGGAAGAUGUCAUGUGAUUAGAAGAAUGGUGUUUCUUCAAGGCUGGCUCGCUGACUUAAGGAGGUCGAAGUUGCUGCCUCUCACCAGUUUGGCUCGCAGGUGGUGCCGAUCUUGCUGACCGUGUAGCUGCACCAGCCGAACACAGGAGGGAUCGUCCAGAUGAAGGAGAAGGUCCAGACAAACAGCAGGCCCAUUGCCGCAUGCUUCCCCCUAAGACGAACAUUCCCCAGAGGCCGGCAGAUCACAAAGAAACGCUCGAAGGACAGGACUGCCAGGGACCACAGAGCUACAAUCCCUAAGAGGAGGCACAGACAGUCUGUAGGGCCCAGAAGAAACAUGUCUACCCAUUUGGCUGUGACUAUAUUCAUUAAAAUAACAAUGAAUUACAUAUCUUCAUUAAAAACAUUAUCUUGAUAAGUAAAUUCAUACAAUUUCAUUCUUCCACCAGAAUAUAUAAUCCAGACCAAAAAAAAUCUGUGUUAGUUAUUUUGGUCAUGUUUCCACAGACACGCACCAGACGUAAAUCAUGUUUGCAUAGUUGCUACGUAAAAUGACUAAAAUGACUGGUCGUCCGUUAACAAAAAUGGUUGCUAUGCAGGCAGACUAUAGUUGUCGCUAGCUAACCAGACAACUUUAGCAAACUCAGUCACGCUUAUAUUAACCCCGCUUUACCAAACUAAAUGCAAGGCUAGAAGCAAGGGGAAAUAGUGUAUAAAUUCAGAUAAAUGCAAGAGAUGAUUCGGACAGCAACCUGAAUAUGAUUAUAUUCUUAUGGAGGGUGACAAAUAAUUCAGAUGGACCUGUUAGCAGGCAUAGGUGUGCCUGUUGGUGAAUACAGCACCGCUUGGAAUGCUGCUCGUCCAAUCAGCAUCUAUGAUCGAAACAACCCGUUUCAUAAAAUAUGCUAAACACUACUAUUCUACACUUCACUCUACCUAAAAUGGCUUACCUAGAACCAUUGUAAAAACUGCAGUUGUCUAGCACUUCCUUCUGGUUUGUUUAAUCAGGCAGUUGAAGCCCCGUUUCCAAUGACACUUUGAAAUCAACCUAGGCUGGACUAGCUGAAAUUUGCCCCCUAAUUUUAAAUCCCAGUGGAAACGGUGUUUUAGUCUCCUAUUCUUCAGACCAUAAACCACAUUUAGUGUCCUUAUUGGCCAAGGUCACGCAAGACGUUCUUAUAUUAGCCAAUCAGCAGCCUAUAUUCCUGAGACUUCAGGUUCAUUCGUGUAGGACCCCUGCGCAGAAAUCAGAUAACAUUGCUUUCCAUCCUGACGAACUACCCUUUUCCUCUUGUGUACAAUAUCCUUGGUGUCUGACAUUUUACUGUGCGUGCGUCUAAAACAUAAGUGUUUUUUAGAUAUUUUAUGUUCCGUUGGUUUUGUUGCUAAGUAUUGUCUGUUGUAUUUUUCCAUAUAUGUUGAGUUUGCUGGCUAGCUCGCGCUGCCGCUAGCAUUUACACAAAGAAUCCAUUAGUAGUGUAUGUUAGCAUGCCUAGUAGCUUUAGCCGUUUGUUAGCAUUUGUCAUUUGAGGUGAUAGGCUAUUUCCUUUGUAUAUGUAAAUCGCUCAUGCUCUGGUGUUGGUAUUAUGUAAACUUUCCUGUAUUGCUGUUGUUGAUGUACAGGUCCACUAGCCUGUUUAGUAGAAACUAGCCCUGCAGAAGGAAAAUAUGCCUACAUUUAUAUUGCAUCCCUUACAGAACCAGAAUCUGUCAGUUUCAAGGGUGGCGUGAGUGUCUGUGUGGAUCCUUUCUGUCCAUUAAAAACCCCUUAACUAGAAAUACUGUCUCGUUGUUC
Oncorhynchus kisutch (coho salmon) is the source of this 2071-nucleotide long non-coding RNA. RefSeq lists it as uncharacterized. NCBI's taxonomy places the organism in Eukaryota, Metazoa, Chordata, Actinopteri, Salmoniformes, Salmonidae. The transcript has 3 exons. The record is from RefSeq and is a predicted model, not a curated record.